CCUGGCUCACGAUGUAGCGCUAGCUACAGGCUUAACACAUGCAAGUCGAGGGGCAGCAUGGUCUUAGCUUGCUAAGGCCGAUGGCGACCGGCGCACGGGUGAGUAACACGUAUCCAACCUGCCGUCUACUCUUGGACAGCCUUCUGAAAGGAAGAUUAAUACAAGAUGGCAUCAUGAGUCCGCAUGUUCACAUGAUUAAAGGUAUUCCGGUAGACGAUGGGGAUGCGUUCCAUUAGAUAGUAGGCGGGGUAACGGCCCACCUAGUCUUCGAUGGAUAGGGGUUCUGAGAGGAAGGUCCCCCACAUUGGAACUGAGACACGGUCCAAACUCCUACGGGAGGCAGCAGUGAGGAAUAUUGGUCAAUGGGCGAGAGCCUGAACCAGCCAAGUAGCGUGAAGGAUGACUGCCCUAUGGGUUGUAAACUUCUUUUAUAAAGGAAUAAAGUCGGGUAUGGAUACCCGUUUGCAUGUACUUUAUGAAUAAGGAUCGGCUAACUCCGUGCCAGCAGCCGCGGUAAUACGGAGGAUCCGAGCGUUAUCCGGAUUUAUUGGGUUUAAAGGGAGCGUAGAUGGAUGUUUAAGUCAGUUGUGAAAGUUUGCGGCUCAACCGUAAAAUUGCAGUUGAUACUGGAUAUCUUGAGUGCAGUUGAGGCAGGCGGAAUUCGUGGUGUAGCGGUGAAAUGCUUAGAUAUCACGAAGAACUCCGAUUGCGAAGCAGCCUGCUAAGCUGCAACUGACAUUGAGGCUCGAAAGUGUGGGUAUCAAACAGGAUUAGAUACCCUGGUAGUCCACACGGUAAACGAUGAAUACUCGCUGUUUGCGAUAUACAGCAAGCGGCCAAGCGAAAGCGUUAAGUAUUCCACCUGGGGAGUACGCCGGCAACGGUGAAACUCAAAGGAAUUGACGGGGGCCCGCACAAGCGGAGGAACAUGUGGUUUAAUUCGAUGAUACGCGAGGAACCUUACCCGGGCUUAAAUUGCAGAUGAAUUACGGUGAAAGCCGUAAGCCGCAAGGCAUCUGUGAAGGUGCUGCAUGGUUGUCGUCAGCUCGUGCCGUGAGGUGUCGGCUUAAGUGCCAUAACGAGCGCAACCCUUGUUGUCAGUUACUAACAGGUUCCGCUGAGGACUCUGACAAGACUGCCAUCGUAAGAUGUGAGGAAGGUGGGGAUGACGUCAAAUCAGCACGGCCCUUACGUCCGGGGCUACACACGUGUUACAAUGGGGGGUACAGAGGGCCGCUACCACGCGAGUGGAUGCCAAUCCCAAAAACCUCUCUCAGUUCGGACUGGAGUCUGCAACCCGACUCCACGAAGCUGGAUUCGCUAGUAAUCGCGCAUCAGCCACGGCGCGGUGAAUACGUUCCCGGGCCUUGUACACACAGCCC
This 1382-nucleotide ribosomal RNA is filed under the name uncultured bacterium. RNAcentral's name for it is "bacterial SSU rRNA". It matches the Rfam family "Bacterial small subunit ribosomal RNA", at positions 18 to 1395 of the family's 1533-position model. The record is from RNAcentral.